Molecule: long non-coding RNA, 545 nt
Organism: Carassius carassius (crucian carp)
Lineage: Eukaryota; Metazoa; Chordata; Actinopteri; Cypriniformes; Cyprinidae
Exons: 2
Source: RefSeq, a predicted model, not a curated record
CAGCCUAACAAACAUCAGUCCAGCCAGCAUCUCUAACACUUCUGAUGCUUUCUGAACUCUAGACCAGACUCAGACCAGACUCCUUCAUUUACACGAGCUCAAGAACAACACAAAGGAUGAGAUCUGCAGCUCUUCUCUCGAUCCUCUUCAUUCUGGCUCUCAGUGAUGGAGCAGACUGUCAGGACUUUAAUGAAUUCAGGCGAAAACACAUUCUCUCAACUACAUUUAAAACCAAGGAUGGACAUGUUUGGGCAAAAUAUUUAUUUGAAAAGGAACUCUGUGGAAGAACUGAAAUACAAUCUUUCAUCAAGAGCAGUGAGAAAAACAUAAAACAAAUCUGUAACGGCUCCGGCAGUGUUUCAGGGAACUAUACCAAAAGUACAGAUUUCUUUGAAGUGUAUCGUGUUAAAAGCUCUGUGGAAAUAGAUGGAAAGUGUAUCAUUACCAGUUGUACUUCAGGCAAAUAUAAUGUUUUCGUUAAAUGUGAGAACAGACAACCUGUGCACUAUGGACAUCAAAAGAUUAAAGAGAACACAUAUCCACAA